GGCCUACGGGGGGCAGCAGUGAGGAAUAUUGGUCAACGGUCGGGAGACUGAACCAGCCAAGCCGCGUGAGGGAUGAAGGUACAGAGUAUCGUAAACCUCUUUUGUCAGGGAACAAAGGCGGGGACGUGUCCCCGGAUGAGUGUACCUGAAGAAAAAGCAUCGGCUAACUCCGUGCCAGCAGCCGCGGUAAUACGGAGGAUGCGAGCGUUAUCCGGCUUUAUUGGGGUUAAAGGGUGCGCAGGCGGUCUGUGAAGUCAGCGGUCAAAGCCCGGGGCUCAACCCCGGCACGGCGGUGAAA
Molecule: ribosomal RNA, 298 nt
Filed under: uncultured bacterium
Lineage: Bacteria
Description: partial 16S ribosomal RNA
Rfam family: Bacterial small subunit ribosomal RNA
Source: RNAcentral